This 465-nucleotide ribosomal RNA is filed under the name uncultured bacterium. RNAcentral's name for it is "partial 16S ribosomal RNA". It matches the Rfam family "Bacterial small subunit ribosomal RNA", at positions 338 to 795 of the family's 1533-position model. The record is from RNAcentral.
CCUACGGGAGGCUGCAGUAGGGAAUCUUCCACAAUGGGCGAAAGCCUGAUGGAGCAACGCCGCGUGGGUGAAGAAGGUCUUAGGAGCGUAAAACCCUGUUGUUAGAGAAGAAAGUGCGUGAGAGUAACUGUUCACGUAUCGACGGUAUCUAACAAGAUAGCCACGGCUAACGACGGGCCAGCAGCCGCGGUAAUACGUAGGUGGCAAGCGUUAUCCGGAUUGAUUGGGCGUAAAGGGAACGCAGGUGGUUUUUUAAGUCUGAUGUGAAAGGCUUCGGCUUAACCGUAGUAGUGCAUUGGACACUGGGAGACUUGAGUGCAGAAGAGGAGAGUGGAACUCGAUGUGUAGCGGUGAAAUGCGUAGAUAUCUGGAAGAACACCAGUGGCGAAGGCGGCCCUCUAGUCUGUCACUGACGCUGAGGUUCGAAAGUGUGGGUAGCAAACAGGAUUAGAUACCCUUGUAGUC